CCUGGGGAUGGAGAUGCCUGAGCUGCUAAGCAAGUUGUCCAACUGUGGAUCUAUUUUCCAUACUUAAAGGUAAAUGAGGUUGGCAUCUGAUGGUCUUUCUGAGAACAAUCAGUCCUGAUGGUUCACUUGGGUUGCAGCAUUCUUCUGACAGCCUCUUCUCAGCAUCAGAAGUGUAGAGUUUUUAUUUUCCUCUUUCCUCAAACCAAGCAUCAAAUCCCACAUCUGACAUUGCUGAUUUAAAUUGUCAUGGAAGAAAGAGUUUUAUUUUGGAGCAACCUGAUUAUAUUGCACAAUAUCUUAACAGUUAAGUGUUAAUACAGAAAAUGGGGCCAUUUUAUGAAAGACAACUGGAAAAUGAAAAGCGAAAAGGAAUGAACAUAUUGCUAUGGAAUAGGUGUGCUAUUAAAUAUUGAAAGUGGCCGCAGAAUGAUCUCUUCCCAACAACGAACAUAAAUGUGCUGGACUCCAGCGGGGUUUUCAUCCAGGAGUAGAGGAAACUAUAUUCAAUACGCAUUAAGAUAUUCGGUAACUGAUGAAAAAUAGAUUGACCCAUAGCAUAUAAAACUCAGUGCUUCAACAGAUAUUGAAUGAAAAGGUAAAUAGGUAGAUUGAGUGAUUAUGAAUUUGUAUUGCUUGCCCAUAUUUUCUUUUCAAUGUAAGAAUAAAGAAACAACUGAUUUUUAC
Talpa occidentalis (Iberian mole) is the source of this 684-nucleotide long non-coding RNA. RefSeq lists it as uncharacterized. NCBI's taxonomy places the organism in Eukaryota, Metazoa, Chordata, Mammalia, Eulipotyphla, Talpidae. The record is from RefSeq and is a predicted model, not a curated record. The transcript has 5 exons.